This is a long non-coding RNA of Mauremys mutica (yellowpond turtle), 1554 nucleotides long. RefSeq lists it as uncharacterized. The record is from RefSeq and is a predicted model, not a curated record. The transcript is spliced from 3 exons. NCBI's taxonomy places the organism in Eukaryota, Metazoa, Chordata, Testudines, Geoemydidae.
GUUCAACUUGAGCCACCUGUAAUGUUAGAGCGGUCACAGUGGCCUUAGCUGCUUGCAGCUCAGUGGCUUGCUGUUCAGCCUGCUGGAUUUGCUGCUGGCACUUCUCAAGUCCCUGGUCUGCAUGCUCUUUCAACAGCACCACUUGAGAAUUGAGCUCACAGCCGACCAUGGCCAGGCCGUAAAUCAGAGCUCGUUUUUGCUCCUCUCUAUUGGGCUUAGGCUUGCUAGUGUGGUAGCGAGCCCACAAGAUGGAAAAUUUGCCCAGGGAGUCAGUCCCUGCUAGUGAUUCCUGCUGCCAAGGAUUUUCUCCCUUCCCAAAAGAAUCGAUAGCAUGAUCCAAAGAAUUUUUAUUAGACUGGGGAGUCCAUCCUUGCAGACUGAAAAUUUGGUCCAUUAUGUUGUAGGGAGUUGCUUACCCAACUCCGGAACUGAAAAGGGUAACUUAAGUGAAGAUAGAAGGACUCCAGUAAGAAACCACACCUUUAUACGUGGCACCUCGGCCCGGGCUAGGCUAGCCUAAUAUGCUGCCUUCUGCCAAAGAAAAAUUGGCCACCCUUUUGGGGCCCAGACCCACUCCAUACCUACCCUUUACAGGGAAAGGGACUAACAGCACUGGACGGGGCAACCAGUAACCGCUACCUGUUACCGAAGUGGGGGUGGGUGUCCCCGUGACCCCUGGUCCACAAUAACAGGAUUUAAACAGGUUUAAGCUAAAAUUCCACCCUUUGCCAAAGGAGGGGGAAAGGAGCCAACUGGUUCACUUGCCCUUCGGCUAAUACAAUAAUAUCCAAGUAAGAACUCCCCCCACCCCCAAAAUAGAAAUGAAAUAGCCUAACAGGACCCUAAGGAGAUGGCUAAUCCAGUCCCCAGAGAGUCCUGCUGUGGUCGCCAGAAAUGUUAUCUCAAAGGGGAGCCAAGAUAACUCUGAAUGUGUCAAGUGGUGUAGGUAUCGGAAUAGAAACAAGCCCCUUUUUCUCAAAAGAGCAGAUUCGCCCUCUGCCAUAUCUGUCACCAGUGGACUGGUGCAGAUCUCCUCCCCUCUCCCCUUGUGUGGCACACAAUAAAUAUAACUGACAAGAGAUAAAGUUCAAAACAAACAGGUAAAUGUAUUAGGGGACAGAAUUACACAGAUAGGGAAGGGGUAAAUAUAAAUGACUAAUAGCUAUAUAACAAACCCAGUGACACAGCAGCUCUUCCGUGUGAGCGUGAAGCUCAGGCCCAAGAAUGAAACUAAACCAAUCCUGUCAUUCAAGAAAUAUGACCCCCGACAUAGAAACCCUAAUUGUUUUCUCACUCAAUUGCCAUCACUUCAGUAGUGACGGUGAAGUCCAGGACCUCUAUUCCGUAGGUAAUUGAAACCCUUGGAGGAGGAACAGUGGAGAGUCCCUUGAUGGAUGUCAGGACAGAAGAAGUGGACCAGGAACCCUCUGGACGGUGAUGUUCUCCAGGUGCAGGACAGCUGCAGAUGAUCGUAGGGGAUGCUAGUAAAAGCCAGUCUCAGGUAUAUGGUGAACCAGGACCUUCAAACCGAGGUGAGGAGGAGGCGGAUACGGC